RNAcentral lists this long non-coding RNA (36891 nucleotides) under Gossypium barbadense (sea-island cotton). RNAcentral's name for it is "long non-coding RNA (GBAR_LNC021343)". Lineage: Eukaryota; Viridiplantae; Streptophyta; Magnoliopsida; Malvales; Malvaceae. The record is from RNAcentral.
AGGACUGAAACUCCGUUGGAGUUAUCACCUUUGAGAAACUCAAUCAUUUCUGUCUUCUCCUUGUGUCUGCCAACAUACUCCACAACUCCAUCCAGUACGGAAGUUGGUUGCAGCCUAGGUUGCUUUCCCUUGGAGGUUGGAGCUUGAGACAAGAUCUCACUCAACCCCAAACUACUUCUUCGAGUAGUCAAACUAUUCAGUCUAGCAGUGAUCUCUUUCACCUUGGGAAUCAUGGAAUUCUUAAACAGGAAAGAAGUGGGAGCGAAACUAGUACCAGUAAAGCAGGUAGGAAUGAGCUUCCGUACAUUGCUAGUGCUGGCUUGAGCUUGCGAUUUCUUAAGCUUGAGACGUAACUCUUCAUAAGCGAACUCAUCCAAGAUGUCAUCCACAUCGUAAGCCAAGUCCUGGAGAUCCUCCAACCAUUUCUUCACACCCAUGUUCUUGAUCUGCUUCUUCUCUGCAUCUUCCAACACUGCUUGGAUAUCAGGCAAUAUGGACUGCCACUGCUUGAGCUGCUGGUGGAGUUGGUUGUGAUUAGCAACAAAUUUGAGUGCAGAGUCGAGCGAUUUGCCCAACAACAGGUCCAGGAACCCAGAAAGAGCAGCCUCUCCAAUGACAGACAUGUUGGAAUUAUGAGAAAGAAGUUGAAAAGAGCAAUGAACAAAGCCAAAAUGGAAAGUCAGGGAACAAAAAGAGAAAGAAAGGGAAAUGGAAUCUGCAAAAUUAGAGAAAGUUGAAGAAGUUGGCACUAUUUUUUAAGCAUCCAAUAAUUCAGACUAUGAGUUGGGAAGGCAGUGGAACGUGAAAAAGGAUCCCAAGUGGUUGUUGAUGGGGAAAAGACAACGAAAGUGGAAAUUAAAGAGGUCCCAGUAGAGGUGAUCAUGGCUGGGCUGGGCCGGGUUCGGGUCGAGUUUGAAUAAAAUUUUAGACCCAUAUUUUAGGCCGGGCCAGACCGGGCUAAGAAAACAGGUCUAAAUUUUUGUUCGAGCCAAGCCCAAAAGAAAAUUACUAAGCCCAAGCCCGGCCCAACUUGCCCAUAUUAUUUUUUAUAGUUUAUUUCAUUAAAUAAAAAAUUUUAAAACAAAUAUUAAAACAAAAAAAAGACUAAAAUAAUUCUUAAAGCAAUACACAAAUUAAAAAUAUAAUAAAAAGUGGUUAUAUUAAAAUUGAAACAAAUUAGAACUAAAAUAAUAGCCAAAUUAAUAAUAAAACAAAAAUAUAUUUGUUUAAAAAUAAAAAUAUAUAUUUAAUAUAUAAUUCGGGUCGGGCUGGGUCCGGGUCAAAAAAGUUUUACCCCAGCCCGGCCCGUUUUUUAAACGGACCUCUUUUUUUUUUUGCCCAAACCCAUAUUUCGGGCCUAAAUUUUUAGCCGAACUGAUAUAAGAAUGCGCACGGACCAAGAUCGAGUUGCCAAGUCACGGAAAACUCUUAUGAAAACUUGAAACGAUCAGAUCUGAAACGAAUUAGCAUUCAAAUUAAAGAAAUCAAUCAGAUUUUAAAAAUAGACAAUUAGGAUUUGGGGCAGCAAGAAGAGAGGAAAAAUUGAGGGGUCAAACAGUUCUUGAAACCCAAAGGAGGUUGCAAUUCUGCCCAAUUGAACAACGGGGUAGUUUUCCCCAAAUUUUAGCAACCUAAUUUCACCAAAAAGGGAAGGAAUUUUAGUCGGCAAAAACCCUAGAAAUUGGAGAUUUUUGGUGCGAUUCUUGACUGCCAAGAGAGGAGUAUGGAUCGAUUUCUUUAAGUUGGAAUGAACUGAAAACACAACAAGAAGAUCGAUUAAAACAAGAUAAGCAAUCGGCACAAGGCAGAAUUUAAAGAAAAAAUUGACAGCAAGCAGAUAAAGAUAAAGUCAGCCUUGAAAUCCCAAGAGAUUUCACAACUCCCUUCAAACGGCUCUAAUCUUCCCUCCAAUGAAUAUCAAUGGCAAGAAGAAGGUUGAAGAUGGUUCCCACAAUCAAAAAGAUUGUUAAAACAACUUCUAAAAAAAACUCAAGAGAAAAUUCUUAGAGAACUCAAAGAGAAUUUUCACUCAAAACAAAUCUGAAAUUUUCAAUGUGUUUCUUAUGUGUCUUACAAGGGUGGCCGGCCAUGCCUAUUAAUAGGCCUUAAUAUUUUCCUAAUCCUAUUAGAAAACUAAAACUAAAAAAACUCCUAAUUAAAUAUUAAAGAGAAAUUCGAUCAAGGGCUUUAAAUUGGGCCUCUUGAACAGAAUAUUUACAUAACAAUUAAUUUAGAAAGUCUAAAAUUGAAACUAAGAAUUAAUUUUUUACAAAUUGGGCCACUUUACAAUUUGGCCCGAUUUUCAACUAAGUAUGAUUUUAACUUUUUGGUUGGGCUUUGGAAUCGUCUCAUUGGGCCUUGUGGUAAUUUGAGCCCAUCACGUUCUUGAGCUUGAGUUGGGCCUUUGUGACUCGUAUCACGAACCCUCUCAUUUUUCGAGCGGGCCAUCGGGCCGGGCCGGGUAACCCAACCCAUAUUACCUCUAGGUCCCAGUCCAUGAAAUUAUUGCACCCUCUCAUUUCAUAUCUCCCUGCAAUUAUUUGAAUAGCUUUUCUUUAAUUUUUCAUCUAUUUUAAUCAUUGAAUUUGUAUUUAUUUUUAUUAAAUCACUUCAAAAUAAAUAGAAAACCUAAAAGGGUAUACAAUCUUAACAAAGAUAAAAACAUUAAAAUUUUUAUUUAUUUUGAAAUAAUUUGACAAGAAAAUACAAGUUCAAAAGCUAAUUCUUUUUCAUAAAAUUAGAUAACCAAAUCUUUAUGUAUUUCUUUUAUGAGACAAAAGUGGAUUAAAGUGUUUGCAACUCUAAAAUGGAUGGCCGCUCUUUUAUAGGUAUAGAAUUUAAUGAUUCUUAAGAUAAUUUGUUGUGGUCAUUUGAGUUGUUAAUUUGUUAAUAAUAAUAAGGAGAACGAAUAGAAAGUAAUGGCUUGGCUCAUGAAUAAACGACCAAUCCCCGAUAGAAGAGAAGGUUCCAUUGGAACUAUUAUUUAUUUCAGGGUGUCUUGUCUCUCUCUUUUUUUACUUAAAAGAGAGAGAGAGAGAGAGAGAGGAAGUGCUAACAGAAAUGGUAAGAAGAUAUUGGAACAUAAAUUUGGAAGAGAUGUUGGAAGCAGGAGUUCAUUUUGGUCAUGGUCUACUUAUGGCUUCGUGCACUAUUUGUUAGAAUGCAUCAAACACAAAUCUUAAGAUUAAAUUAAAUUCUAAAAAAAUACUAAUACAAAUAAAAAUAUUAAAAUUCAAGAUAAAAAUAUUGAUGUGACAUUAAAUUAUUGAAAAUGGAUACAAAUAUGAUGGUAUCCCAAUUUUAUACUAUCAUAUUCCUCCAAAAUAAUUUUCCUUUUAAUAUGUAUAUUAUACUUUUUGGUUUUGGGCAGAAAUGGAUUGCAAAUGGAAUUUCUUUUCUUCUAUAGUUCUAAUUAUGUUCUUUCUUUUUCUCUUGUAUAAUAUUUCGCCGCCACGCCACCUUCCCAAUUUUUUCCCCUUCUUUUAUUUAAUUCUUGUUGAAUUAUUAGGGGUGUGUAAAUUUUGGAUAAAACCAAAUUAAUUUGGUUAAUUAAACAGUUAAUCGAAUUAAUUCGGUCAAGGGUCAGUUAAUAAUUUUUUGAAAGUUCAGUUAAUGGUUAAUUAGAUAAUUAGUGAACUGAACAAAGACAAAAUGGAAACCCAGGGACCAAAAUAGAAAGAAAGAAAGAUGGAUUCUGUGUAAUUAGUGAAAGUUGAAGAAGUUGGGACAAUAUUUUUUUAAGCAUCCAAUAAUUCAGACUAUGACUUGGAAGGCAUUGGAUUAUGAUAAAGAAGAUGGAUCCCAAGUGGUUGUUGCUGGGAAAAGCAAAUGAAAGUGGAAAUUAAAGAGGUCCCAGUCCAUGAAAUUCUUGCACCCUCCCAAGUGGUUGUUGCUGGGAGAAGACAAUGAAAGUGGAAAUUAAAGAGGUCCCAGUCCAUGAAACUAUUGCACCCUCCCAUUUUUCCGUCCCCGCAUUAGCUUUUCUUUUAGGCAUAAUGAUUACUCCUAAUUUGCAUAAAAAAUAAUUUUAACUCUUAAGUUUAUCUUUCAAUCAAACCACUCUAAAAUAGACCCGACAUACAUGUGAAUUAUAAUCUAGAAAACACAUUAACAUUUAAUUAAUUUUUAAAAUUUAAAAAAUUAAUUAAGUGAACAUUAGUAAAGUUAAAAAAAGUUACAAAUUUAUGGGCUAAAAAAUAAAAAUUUAAAUAGAGAACUAAUUUUUUUUUAAGAAGUCGAAUAAAUUAUUAUGUCUUUCUUUUAUUGGAUCAAAAUAGAUUAAAAUGUCUGCAAUUCUAAAAUGGAUGGACUUAGUAUUUGGAUACAUUAUUAUUUUUACUGGAGAUCGAGAAAAGAUGGACUUUCUAUGAGCCCAUUUUUCUGAUAGGAUUUAUUACCACUUUAGCAACUUUGGCGAUUUAGUCAAUUACUCGAGAUUCACGAUUAUUUUAUUUCUUGAUGCUAGCAAUGUAUAGUGAUCAAAUAGCAUCAUUUCUUCUUAAGACCUUUUACUUUUUUCAUCAUGUGGGAGUUUGAAUUAAUUCUCAUUUAUCUAUUUCUAUCCAUGAAGGGGAAGAAACAUCUAUGCUCGGUUACAAAAUUUAUUUUGUACAUUGCAGGCGGUUUCAUUUUUCUAUUAAUAGGAGUUUUGCGUCCCGGUUUAUACGGUUCUAAUGAACCAACAUUAAAUUUUGAAAUAUUAGAUCAUUUAGAUAAUCAAUCAUAUCCUGACACACUAGAAAUAAUAUUCUAUAUUGAACUUCUCAUUACUUUUUCUAUCAAAUUGUUGACUAUACUCUUACAUACAUGGUACGAUAUAAAAAAUUUCAAUAAAAAAAUAUAAAAUUAUUAAAUAUUAAAAUAAUAUAAUAUAAAUAUUUUUAAAAAAAUAAAAUUAAUAUGAACAGGGCUAACAUGAGUUUGGAUUAAUCUUAUGUAAAUAUAGACGGGUUUGAGCAACAUUUUAAGCCUAAAUUUUAGGCUGGGUCAGAUUUAGAUAAACAUAAAGUAAGUUAAUAUCAUGCUUAGACCCAACCAGUCUAUGAAUAUAUUUACUAACGAGGGACCUUUGUUUUGAAUUUUGUAAUAGCCUUUGUCCAUUGUCCCGAUUUCCAAGUAAAUGAACGUUGAGCUCCAUGCCAAUGGCAUCAAAAUAAUUAUCUCCAUUAACAACAAAAUAUAGUCCAACACAAGAAGGGAGUACUAGAAGAACAUAUUCUCCAUCUCAUAAACAUUUGAUAACAUCACUGUUGAAGCCUUUCAAAGCAGGGGAAAUCCAUAUAAAGUGUGAUAGAAAGCCCACUGUGACACAUUUAGCUUUCAAGCUUCAGAUUCCCUGUCUUACAAAAAUGACCAAAUAAUAUAUCACGUUUACAAUAUUAUCUGUCUUACAAAAACCAAAUAUCAGUGAACCACCAUCUUUGCCUAUCUUUUAAAGGGUUUCAUACAUGUGGUCUGAGCAUGACAAAAUAAGGGAUGCUCUGAAAUUUUGAUGAUGCAUCCAUCCAUGAUCACAGCAGUUGUGUACGAAAAUGAAAAACAACAUACUUUCUUUAGAAUGCAAAAAACUUGAUUAUAUUGAUAUGAAGCAGUAACCAAAAUGGUUAAAUGAAGUUUUUCAGUCAGUCACUUAGACACUGAGUUCAUUAAUGUCGUUCAAUCCACAUGAUCGAAAAAGCAGUUCCUCAUCAAGUGAAUUAAUGCAGCUCGAAAGUAGCUUUCAAAUGGAUGUAUCAUCUGAGAAUUUCCAAGAACUAGGAUGGCCAACUUUGAGAUCAGCAGACUAUAGUUUGUGGGAACACUGAGGCUGCAAGUUCAAAAGAAGUAUAAUCUCAAUGUCAUCAGUGUUUUACAAGUGAGAAAACCCCAAAUUGCAGGUCAGUGAACUCUCUUGUGUUAAUGCUUAAAUCUAGCUCUUUAACUACAUGCCGUACUGCGUAGUGUAUCCCUUCCUUAUCCUGAGAGGAUCAAUAAUAGACUGGUGACGACUCGUAUCCUUACACAAUAACAGGAAUCUGUCCACAAAGAUCAUAUGAAACUAUCAAGUAAAUUAAGACUUAUUCUUUUGAAAUACCAUUGGUCAAUAUUACAAUGGAAUGUCAAAUAUUUUCAACUAAAAUCCCAUUUCCAAGUACAAAGGUUAUAACAAUUGCAUUUGAAAACAUUGUCUUAAAAAAAAAUAGUUAAUAUAUUAUGGAAAAUUUUAGAAAGAUGAAGAGAAAGUCUAGGAUUGGCAGACCAAUGUCGAAAAGAAGGAUCGACUGACUAUACGGCAUAUUCCAAGUCCAUUCCAAAAUUAGUCUGUGCCAACCCAUAUUCUGAGAGCUAAGCAAACAUAUACGCAAAGGAAGCUUAGAAAUCAGAACAUGCAGAUGAAAACUGAACAUUCAAUUUGCUGAACAUCAAAUCAAAUAAGCUAAAAGGAAGGCUAGUUGAAUUCAUCCGCUAUUUUUGCCAAAUUAGUUUUCAAUGCCUGAAAAAUUGAAUACAAAUUAUAUAAGACUGAUUGCUAUUAUCUUGUUAUUCUGAGGACAAUCACAUAUGUGGAACUAUGGAACUAAAAAUGCUAUGAAAUUGCUUAAUGUUUAAAAUGGUUUCACACCUGUGGUUUAAGUGUGGAGAAACCAGUGCCAGGUUUUGCUGCUUUACUUUCAAUCUAAUUCCCUUGGGAUGACUGUUUUAUACUGAAAACGGACAUAAGGGAUGUGGGCAAUCUUGGACCACUGUCGACCUUUACCCCUACUGCACCCUUCUUCUAGCAACGGGCAAUUGAAAAUAUGUAGCUGCUCAAGUGAGAGAAGCAUAUCUUUUUCUGGAAGAGAUGUGAGUUUUGGACAAUUACUUAUUUCCAAUUCGUGAAGUGAAGUGAGGUGUUGAAAGCCCUUGGAGCACAUGAAUUCCAAAUUCUCAAAAUUUUCAAUGCAGAUAGAUGUUAGAGAAGGAGGCAGCAUUCUUCCUAUCCCUUCUUCUGGAAAUGACACCACACGUGAGCAUCCCUCACCGCCGAUAUUGAGCUCUUGAGUGGAGGUGAGUCUAUUUAAUCCCCAUUCAACAAGUGAUGUAUACAUUUUGGGUCCAUUUGAGAUUUCAAGUGAUGUGAGAUUCGUAGGGAAACCCUCUUCUGGGAAUGACACCACACGUGAGCAUCCCUCACCGCCAAUAGUGAGCUCUUGAGUAGAGGUGAGUCUAUUUAAUCCCCAUUCAACAAGUGAUGUAUAUAUUUUGGGUCCAUUUGAGAUUUCAAGUGAUGUGAGAUUCGUAAGGAAACCUCUUCUGGGAAGGAUAUAUCAGCUGAACACUAUAUAAAUAGUUAAAUGAAAAGACAAAAAGCAAACUCGUAAUAUUAUUUGUUAUCUUUUAAAUAAGGAUUUUUAUUUAAAGUUAUUUUUCAACCAAAUUGAUCUUUAGUUAAACUCGUGGCUUCAACUCAGUUAUAUAACUAUAUAUAGUAUAAUUAACAAACAAUAAAAUUGAAAUUGACAUACAUGUAUGCUGUGUGUAGCCUUAAAUACUCCUGUUUCAUGGUGUUAACCUCAAUUCCUUGCAACUUCUUUUUUUUAACAAAAAAAAAAGAAAAAUACGCACACACAAUAUUAGAAAUGUAAUUAUUAUUAUCGAUCGAGUCUUAAUUCAAUUGGCAUUAAUAUUAUUAUUUAUGCAAAGAGGAUAUCAAUAUAUAUAUAUACCUCAACUUGUUGCUCAUCAAAAGGGUGUUCUUGAGAAUGAUCUUCUUCCAUUCCUUUGCUGUACCUUGAAAGAGUGUAUUCUAUGCUACAUCCCUAAAAUGUCAUGUUUAAAAAAAUAACAAUAAAUUAAAAAUAAAAUUCUAACUCAUUAUUAUUGUUUGGACUUGAGCCGAUCAAAUUUAUGACAAGUUAUUCUUAACUUAUCGGAACUAUUUAUAUAUCAUUUUUGUUUUAAUAUGAGCAUGUGUUGUAAAAGUAUUAUAUAUAUAAUAUACUUGCAAAUAUUUCUUAAUUAUAAUAUGUAAAUAUAAAUUUUAAAAUUAUUAAUUAAUUUCAAUAAUUUAAUGAAUGGUUAUAUAUUAUUUUUAAAAGCAAUUAUAUAAGAAAGUAGUUAAGAAAGAAAAGAGAAAUAUUAAAAAUCCCUUUAUAGGAAUUAAUACUCAACGAUACAAGAAUAUAUUAAUUGAAAUGAGUCAAAACUCAAUGAAAUUUUAAUUGAUGUGAAACUUAAACUAUUUUAUUCUAGUUCAAUAUUGAGACGAUUCAUAACGAUUGAUACAACCAGUAUCGAAACUACCGACUACCAUACUACAAAGCGAAAAGAAAAUAAUGGAAAUCAAUCAAAUUACAACUCAACUUACUUUCAUGCUUAGAAAAAAAACAGUUCUAAAAAAUAAUCAUCCAAGAAAAUAAAUAUAUAUAAGUUUUAUAGACCGUUACAAACUAAUAUACACUCAUAUAAGUCGAUAUUAAUCAAAACACAAUAAAUUUUUAACUGAAACGAAACUUAAACUACUUUAUAUUAAUUCAAUAUUGAGACGAUAGCCAAUUAUUAAGAAAAGAAAAACAAUGGAAAUCAAUCAAAUUAUAGGUCAACUUACUUUCAUGCUUACAAAAGAAAUUGCUAAAAUUAAAAAUUGAAAAAAUCCCAGAUUUCGAUUAUUAAAAAUCAUCUAUAAUAUAUAUAUAUAAAUAAGUAUUAUACUAUAUUAUAUACCUAGUGCUGGACCAUUGAUAGACCUUGCCGCUGCUUGAAAAAAUAAUAACCCCAACCUCUGCAUCACAUAAAAUGGACAAUUCUUUAGCUUUCUUCAACAACCCAUUUUGCCUCUUUGAAAACGUUACUUGCUUGCUAUUCAAAAUUUCAAUCUUUUUUAUUUGAAUUUUCCCUCUACCCAUCUGAAAAUUUUCUUCUUUCCUUUACUUUUUCCCGGAAAAUUUUUAAAGGAAAAGUUAAACCCCAGAUUUUUUUUUUCUUAAAUUUUGAAAAAAACCAAAGGUUUUUAUAACAACAAACCGAUCAAAGAAAAUAAGGCAAAAAAUUUAGGGGAUUGUAAAAGGAUUCUUUUUUUAAGAGAAAAGAAAAUAAGUAAGUAAUGUUUAUAUAUAACAAUGGUUUUCUUAAAUGGAAAUGGAAAAUGAUAUGGAAAAAGAAAAUAUGUGACCAAAAUUAGGGUGAAAGCUUGAAAGGUGACAGAUUUGAUACUAUAUCUACCAAUUAUCCAACUAUGGAAACUCUAUUUAUUAUAAGUUUAGUUUAUUUUUUCUAUUUAUCUUAAUUUCUCUACCUUUUUACUCUCCUGUUUUUGGUAUUUCAACUCAAAAUGGAUUUUAUUUUUGCUUUGGGUUUCUUUUUUUUAAUAUAAAAAGUGGUUUUUAAUUAUUUAUAUAUUAUUAAUGUGUUUUAACAAUUUUUGUUAGUGAAUAUUGAUUUUUUUUUUGUGAAUUACAAUAGGAGGGCAAAGCCCUAAUAACAACACGACUAGUGCAAUUCGAAUGUAGGCCACACUUGAGACGUUGAACACAAGUAUUUCACGAGGACAUAUAACACAUGUUUUUUGUUUUUAAAUUCAUGGCUAAAAUAAUAAAAAAAACCUCUUUAUUUUAUUGUAUUCAAAUAAUAAUAAAAACCAUGGUUUUAGUCGCACCGGCCGGUGCCGCCGUUCUACUGUUAUAGCGCAACAAGCAACACCCUUUUCUAUACUAAUGAAAAUUUUGGCUUGUACCGUUCGCAUUGACCGAAACAUGGUACACUUGCUGCUGCAUGAAUAGUGUUAAAAAAUAUAAAACUUUUAAUUGUAUGUUUUCUAUUAGACUAAUAUUUAAUUGAAAUGUAUUGACCAAUAAAAAAAAUAUUACACUAGAAAGUAAAGUUUAACAUUUAAAAUUUUUUUAGAGCAUACUUUUUCAUUUAAAAUAUAAAAAUUAAAAUAUAAUAAAAAAACUCACUCACCUCGUUAUCAUAGAAAAAUAUCCACUCGCCCUUAAACUUUUUUUAUUGAAAAAAUCCUCUCAUCCUUCGAUUUUUUUUUCUUCUUAAUUUUGAAUUUAUUAAAUGAUGAGUUUUUACUUGUGGAGUUUAUUAAUCAAUAUUUUAUAUAAUUGAUGAAUAGUUUUAUAUUAGAAAUUUAUUUAUAACAAUUUAUUUGAUAUUUGUAUAUUUAUUUAUAUAAAUAUAUUAAAUAUUUUAAAAAAUAUCUAUAAAUUCAAAGUGGUACAUAAAAUAGACUAGUAUCAAUACAUACCGGUUCUCAUAGAAAAGUAGUACUUACACCAAUGUGGUAAUGGCUACCUUGAAAGCAAGUAUGUGGGUGGCUAUAAUGUUUGAUGCUUUAUUUUCUUUGAAUAUUUUGCUUUGAUGCUUUUGAUAUGUGCUGAUCUUUGAGUGUAACCUUUGGGAUAUAUAUGGCCAUCUGAAUUUUUAUGAUUUGCUAUGCAUUGAUUUUGGUUGUUUUAUUAAUAAAUUUAUGUUUUGGAUUGAGAAAAAGAAUAAGAAAUUCAAAACACAAAAAAGAAAGUAGAGAAAGUGAACAUAAUAAUAUACGUGGUUCGCGAAUAUUCCCUACAUCCACGGGCAGAACCAAAAACGAAAUUCACUACUAAAAAUUGGAGAUUACAAUAGAAUUACAUCAUAAAAAUAAAAUACCUUGCCAAUAACUAUCCACAAACUUUGAAUGGAUUCAUGGUCUUAGAAAUUCGAAAAACUAAGAUGGACAUCUUUGAGAUUGGACAGAACAAUAUUUUGGGAACUCUGUUAUCUUACAUGUGUUAAAUUGAGCUCUCUAAUACCAUGUUGUAACGUGUACUGUAUCCCUCCAUUCAUCCUGCAAGGAUCAAUACCAUGUCUACAGUGAUGACGAAAUCUGUUGGCACUGAUAUCCUUAUGCAAUAACAGAAAUCUAUCCACAAAGAUCAACAAACUCUCACGUAAAAGACUUGUUCUUCUGAAAAACCAUUGGUUAAUAGUACUACGAAAUGUCAAAUAUUUUUAACUAAGAUCCCAUUAUCAUAUACCAAAAUAGCUUAGAUAUUGGAAGAUGCAAAUGAAAACAGGACAUUCAAUUUGCUGAAUAAAUGUUGCAGAGAAUUGACUAACCGCUUUACUAAAUCAAAUAAGCUGAAGCAGAUGAGUUGAAGUUCACUAUUUUUCGCCAAUUUAGCCUUCAAUGCCUGCAAAAAUUGAAUACAAAAUAUAUAAGAUUCAUUUCUGUUAUCAUGCUGUUCAUGAGGUCAAUCAGAUAUAUAAAAAAUAAAGCUAUGAAAUUUAUAAAUGCUUAAAAUCCAUUUCACACCUGUGGUUUGAGUGUGGAGAAAUCGAUACCAGAUUUUGCUGCUUAACUUUCAAUUUAAUUCCCUCGGGAUGACUGUUUUAAAAUCAAUUUUAACAAAAGGUAUGUGGGAAAUCUUGGACCACUCUCGUCCUUUACCCCUACUGCACCCUUCUUCUAGCUAGCAACGGGCAACGCCAAAUAAAUAGACGCUCAAGCGAGAGAAGCAUAUCUUUUUCUGGAAGAGAGGCGAGCUUAGGACAAUCAUAGAUGGCCAAUCGUUGAAGAGAGGUGAGGUGUUGUAAGCCCUUGGAGCACAUGAAUUCCAAAUUUUCAAAUCUAUGGAUGCUGAUAUCGGUGAGAGAAGGAGAAGCAUCAUUCCUAUCGCUUCUUCUGGAAAUGACACCACAUGUGAGCAUCCUUCACCGCUGAUGUUGAGUUUUUGAGGAGAGGUGAGUCUGUAAAAUCCCCAUUCAACAAGUGAUGUAUAAAUUUUGGGUGCGUUUGAGAUUUGAAGUGAUGUGAGGUUGGUAGGGAAACCCUCUUCUGGAAAGGAUAUGUCAGCUGAACACUUCCACACUGCUAAUUCUCGAAAGGAGGUGAAGUUGUUGAUGCACUUGGUAAGGGCUCUAAAAUUUUCACAACCCCCAAUUGAGAGAACUCUGAGAUUUGUGGUGGGCAACCCACUUUCUUCCAAUGAAACAAGAUUUGGACACCUAAAUAAUCGAAUCUCCUGAAGAUGGCUGAGCUUGUCUAAUCCCCGAGGUAAUGAUUUAAUUUUUUCAGCAUCAUGAAUGACAAUGCUUUCGAGAUCAGUGGUUUCAAGGAAGUCUUGGGCUAUGCAUUCCAACAUUGGACAAUCCCCGAUAAAUAACUGUUUAAGCAUUACGGGUAACUUGGCAUUUAAAACUAAGCUACUUAGCUUUGAACAACAUCGAAUUUUGAGAUGUUGAAACCGAUUGCAUAUAUCGUCCCUUGAUGAUAACCAUAUUAGAGAUGGACAGCAGCUUAUAUCUAAGCGCUCAAGAAGACAAGUGUUGGUACUCAUACUCUUAUUAGUAUUUUCUUUUUCAUCAACCAAAUAUUGCAAAUUCACGCAAUUCACAAUCCUCAGCUCUUUUAAAGCAGGGGGAAAGUUACUCUCUGCAAAACAAACCAAGCCGGGACAGUCUCCAAGUGUUAUUCUUGUAAUGAAUGGGAAAGCAUGUAAGGCUUCUGGUAGUCUACUGAGCCUUUCACAAUCUCUUAUAAACAGAGAUUCAACACCUGGAAUCUUGUCAAGUUGCAAUCUCUCCUCCUCUGCUGCCAAAGAGACCAAUUGGGGACAACUGACAAUCUCAAUGAAUCGGUGCCCGACUAAUCUUAACCCAAUUUGCGAUAAAGAUCCCAACUCCCAACCAGAGAUCUUAAAUGUUUCGGAGUUUGCAAAUCUCAAAAGUAUCCUCUCUGCCGAAAUAUUACACUUUGAAAUAUUUGAAAGAGACGCAUGUUUCAAAGAGGUAACCUUCUGUACAGACAAAGAACCUUCAUCCACCAAUUCUUCACACCCUGCAAUGCUUAAUUCACACAGCAAGGGAAAACUUGAAAUUGAAACUACCAGUCUCUGACACUCAUAGAUUUCAAGUUUCUGCAAGGAUUGAAGGAUGGUUGGCAACCUUCCCAACAAUAGAGGACAUUUUGUGAUUGAAAGAAAACGAAGGCUGGGGAAUUUCGAUACUUGCUCAUCAUCUUCACAAAGGUCCCACUCCUCCCAAUUCAGCAUAUUGUCAAAGCACAAAGAUUCUAAUGAUGCAAAAGCAUUUGAUUGAUUUUCUCCUAACAACUCAGCACCAAUCUUGUGUACUUGACGCAAACCACCAAUUGAAAGAUCUUUUAACAACAGCAACCUUCCAAUCGAUGGUAGAGAUUUGCAAUUUUGACAGUUGCGGAGCUCCAAUGACAACAUAUUUUUGAAGGAAGAAUCUGCAAUCCAAGUAGAGAAUUUUGCACCACUAAAAUUCUGAAUGACGAGUUGCUCAAGCUUUUUCGAAGGAUGAAGAGAAUCUAACACCCAUUCUUCAACUUCUUUUUUCCUUGUGUCCCAACUCCAUUUCAAUACCAAUCAAUCAAUCCCCUGCUUCUCAUUUAACUUGGCUUCCCCUGCAUCUUCAUUAACAUUCUCCAACCCAGAAAGACAAAAAUAACCUUUGAGGUUUGACAAAUAUUUCAAUUCUCUGAUACUAUGUCCAUCACCUUCCCCUAUGAUAAAAUUUGAUAACCUUUGAAGAUUCGUUAGCUUAUCAAUUCUGAAAGGAAUCCUUUCUAUUAAGUCAGCAACUUUGAUAUUGAGAUAAUGUAAGUUGACAAGAUUUCCCAUCUUUGAAGGUAACCUUUGAAGCUUCCAACACCGUCUCAAUAAUAAAGUUUCCAAAUGGUAAAGAGUGCACAAAGAAUCAGGUAGGCAUUUGAUAUGGGUGUUAGAAAAAUUCAAGUAGCGAAGAUGUUUUAAAUUUUCAAAAACAUCAGGUAACUCUUUUAUCUUAUACCCACUCAAACAAAGCACCCCUAAGUAGCCAAGUCUUGGCAACAGAUCAAGCAAAACAACAUUAGUUAAAAAAGGCCCCCAAACAUAAUUUCUAGAAAAUAUUAAGGGUAGAAAAGUACGUAAUGAUUUCACUUGAUCAAAUGCUUCGAACUUCUUCACUGUGUCAUAUUCUCCAGCAAUAUAAGAAGAAUGCCGAGUGCGAUUCGAUAACUUUUGUUGCAUAUCACCCUCCUGUUUGGAGCAUAUGUCUCCCGCAACUACUUGAGCUAAAUCAUUGAUGAAGUCAUGCAUUACAAAUCAGGACUCAUCUUUACUGGAUGUCUGAAAAAAUGACCUUGACACUAGAUCUUGAAAAUAUUGAUUUCCAAUAUCUUUAACUUGAGGCAUAGCCUUUUGUUGCAAGAGACCUUCUGCUCUCCAUAACAAGAUAAUUUCUUCUUUUUCAAAUUCAUAAUCUUUAGGAAUUAUGGAGCAAUAUGCAAAACAUCGUUUCAAGUAUGACGGAAGAUGAUGGUAGCUUAAUCGCAAAGCUGGAAUUAUGCCACACUGCUCUUCUGGUAAGUUCCAUAUCUCACUCUCAUAUAUUCUUUCCCAUUCUCGAUGAUAUUUAACUGUGCGUAGCAAGCUUCCAAUAGCUUUUGCAGCCAAAGGUAAGCCAUUGCACCUUCUAAUAAUUUUCUCUCCAAUUUCUUUGAACUGGGGAUGUCCAUCGAAAUUUCUUGCUUUUAAUGCAUGCUGUGUAAAUAUCGAUAAACAAUCAUCAUCUGAUAGUUUAUCCAAAUGAAAAACUUUGAGGGGAUCCACAAUAGAUGAAACAAUUUGAAGACGAGUGGUUACAAUGAUAGUGGUCCCUGCUCCAAACGGAGACCGUAAGAUGGUCCAAUCAUUAUAAUUCUCGUUCCAAAUGUCAUCUAAAACAAGCAAGAAUCUUUUCCCAGACAACUUCUCCUUCAACUUAACUUGAAGUAAAUCCAAGUUACUGUAAUCACAUGACUCAGAAGUGAUGGACUGUAAAAUUGCCUUUGUUAUAGCAAUUGCAUCAAAAUUAUCAGAAACGCAUACCCAGGCCUUGAGAUCAAAAGACUCGUUGAUGGUGGCGUCAUUGUAAACAAGCUGAGCAAGAGUUGUUUUACCCAUCCCUCCCAUACCGACGAUGGAAAGGACUGAAACUCCAUUGUAGUUAUUACCUUUGAGCAACUCAAUCAUUUCUGUCUUCUCCUUGUGUCUGCCAACAUACUCCACAACUCCAUCCAGUACGGAAGUUGGUUGCAGCCUGGGUUGCUUUCCCUUGGAGGUUACAGCUUGAGACAAAAUCUCACUCAACCCCAAACUACUUGUUGAAGCCGUGGCCUGCAUUGCAACAAAGAACCAACAGCAACAAAUUGGUCAAAAGACCAGCAGCAGCAGCAAAUUGUACAAUUUUAGCUGCUAUACUAUUUUGUAGCAAAGAAAUGGAGUUGGUUCAGUUAUAAAAUUAUUUUUUGAAUACUUGUUCCUAUGGAACUUAGCCUAAAUCUUUGUAAUGAGUUAGCUAAGUUAGUAGGAAAGAUUGACUGAUGUAAUAGCUGGUAUGCCAGCUUUCUUUUGUAUACAAGUUGCUAUAUUUUUUAGUAAGUAUUAAGUAAGAGCAGUUAAAUUAGUAGGUAACUGUCAAAUACUUUUGUAACCUUCAUAUAUUCAAAAUUUGAAUGAAACUAUGAUGACUUUUCAUUUUACAAAUUUUCUUGCUGAGUUCUUUUCUUUUGUUUUUCUUUCAUUCGUUUUUUACUUUCUUUGCUACUGCCAUUUAUCCAACAAAUGGUAUCAAGAGCUUUCAGUCUUUGAGGGCCUUGGUUGUACACUGUCACUAAGCAAAUUGUGUUUGAAACAAAAGAAGAAGAGGUUGUUUUGCUUGCUGAAAAAUGAGUUUUACACCACCUCUUCCACCUGUCUUUGCUGGAGAAAAUUACAACAUCUGGGCAGUGAAAAUGAGAACAUACAUGCAGGCACACGACCUGUGGAAUGUUGUUCUCAAUGACACUGAGCCACCACCACUAAGAGCCAACCCGACUAUAGCCCAGAUUAGGCAGCACAAUGAAGACUGUGCCAAGAAGUAUAAGGCUAUGUUGUGCCUUCAAAGUGGAGUUUCUGAUGUUAUUUUCACAAGAAUAAUGGCUUGUGACUCUCCAAAGCAGGCCUGGGACAAACUCAAGGAGGAGUUUCAGGGGUCUGACUAGACCAGGCAACAGCAGCUGAUCAACAUGAGAAGAGAUUUUGAAAAUCUCAAAAUGAAGGACUCAGAAACCAUCAAGCAGUAUGCUAACAGAAUCAUGGCUACUGUCAACAACAUAAGGCUGCUUGGGGAAGAAUUCAGUGACCAAAGAGUGGUUGAGAAGGUCAUAACAACCUUGCCAGAGAAUUAUGAAGCAAAAAUUUCUUCUCUGGAAGAUUCAAGGGACUUGUCAACAAUCCCUUUGACAGAGCUUAUAAAUGCUCUCUAUGCUCAAGAGCAGAGAAGGGCAAAUAGGCAGGAGGACCACUAUGAAGGAGCUUUUCAGGCUAGAAGCAGAGAAAGCUCAAGUGCAAACUUAAAUGCCAAAGGCAAGAAGCCCUGGACUGAGAAGAAGAAGAAAGAACCUGUCAAAAGGAAGUUCCCACCUUGUGUCCAUUGCAAGAAGACUACUCAUCUUGAGAAAUACUGCUGGUACAGACCAGACAUUCAAUGUAGAGCCUGCAAGCAAUUUGGCCACAUUGAAAAGGUCUGUAAGAGCAAGCGAAAACCACAACCACAAUUUCAAAGCCAAGCUCAAGCUGCAGAAGAGGUUGAAUCACCAGAAGACCAUGUCUUUUCAGCAUCAUGCUUUGCAAGCUCGAGCAAAGUUAGUAAAAUAUGGCUGAUUGACAGUGGAUGUACCCACCAUAUGGCUUCUGAGAAGAGUAUAUUUAAGGAGCUUGACACCACCUUCAAGUCCAAAGUCAAAAUUGGCAAUGGUGAGCUGCUGGAGGCAAAAGGGAAAGGCAAGGCUUUGAUAAGCACUAAGUCAGGUAUUAAAACCAUUUUAGAGGUUCUCUAUGUACCUGACAUUGACCAAAACUUGCUAAAUGUUGGCCAGCUAUUGGAUAAGGGUUACUCUCUGAUUUUUGAAGGCAAAAACUGUUUGAUCAAAAAUGCUGCUGGUGAAGUGUUGACUACAGUGGCUAUGCAAGACAGAACCUUCAUUGUGGAUGUGAAUCAACUGCAAGCCAAGGCAUACGCAUCUCAGUCUGAUGAGACAGACUUGUGGCACAGGAGGAUGGGGCAUGUGAACUACAAUUCACUGAACAUACUGCACAAAAUGGAUUUGGUCAGUGAUAUGUCCAAAAUUGAGCCAAAGGAUGCUGUAUGUAAGGUCUGUCAGCUAGGCAAACAGACCAGAUUACCCUUUCCAGUCAACAAGGCAUGGAGAGCACAAGGGAAGCUUCAGCUUAUUCAUACAGACAUCUGUGGACCAAUGAAGACUACCUCCUUAAAUGGCAGCAGGUACUUUGUACUCUUCAUUGAUGAUUAUUCAAGGUUCUGUUGGGUAAAUUUUUUGAAGCAUAAGUCAGAUGUUUAUGACUUUUUCUGCAAAUUUAAAGCCUUGGUCGAAAACCAAGCAAAUUGCAAACUAAAAUGUUUGAGGUCUGACAAUGGUUCUGAGUAUGUAUCUCAGAAGUUUCAAAAAUUGUGUGAUGAUGCUGGAAUUCAACACCAAUUGACUACUGUGUACACACCACAGCAAAAUGGUGUUUGUGAAAGGAAAAACAGAACAGUCCUUGAUAUGGCUAGGUGUUUGUUAUUUGAGGCUAAAAUGCCUAAUGUUUUUUGGGCUGAAGCUGUGAAUACAGCUAUUUACCUGUUGAAUAGGUUGCCAACUAAUGCAGUCAAAGGAAAAACUCCCUUUGAAGCCUGGUUUGGACAGAAACCAUCUGUCUCUCAUUUGAAGGUAUUUGGCUGUCUAUGUUAUGUGUUGGUACCUGAGGAGAGAAGAACUAAGUUAGACAGGAGGUCCAUGCCUGGGGUGUUUGUUGGCUACAGCAAUGUGAAGAAAGGAUACAGAGUCUUUGAUCCACUGACCAAGAAGGUUGUAGUGAGCAGAGAUGUGAAAUUCAGUGAAGCAAGUAGCUGGAAAUGGGAUGGAAUUGAAGCAAAUUUGCCAGAUGGAGAAGAGAUUGAUGUUGAUCUGCAGUAAGCUGAAAAUGAAGAAGUAACUGAAAAUGGCUAUGAUGAUGAACCUGUUCGAGGCACUAGGACAUUAACAGACAUCUAUGAGAGAUGUGCAGUAACCAUAGUAGAGCCUUCAUGUUUUGAAGAAGCUGCAAAAGAAAAGUGCUGGCAGGAUGCUAUGGAAACUGAAUUUAAAAUGAUUCAGAAAAAUGAUACAUGGGAGCUUGUGGAUAGACUUGAAAACAGAAGAAUCAUUGGUGUCAAAUGGGUCUUUAGGACUAAAAACAAUGCUGAUGGUACUUUGAACAGACACAAGGCCAGAUUGGUUGUAAAAGGUUAUAGUCAGCAGCAAGGGGUUGAUUUUUCUGAGACUUUUGCACCUGUUGCAAGGUUGGACACUAUCAGACUGCUGCUUGCUUUGGCAGCUCAAAAGCACUGGAAGGUGCACCAUUUAGAUGUUAAGUCAGCCUUUCUAAAAGGCUUUCUUAAUGAAGAAAUAUUCACUGAGCAACCUGAGGGUUUUGAGGUCCCUGGUGAAGAACAGAAGGUUUACAAGUUGAAAAAGGCCUUAUAUGGCCUAAAACAGGCUCCAAGAGCCUGGUAUGAGAGGAUUGAUGGCUACUUAGCAAUGCUCGGGUUCACAAAGAGUAUCAGUGAGCCUACACUCUAUGUUAAGAAGGAUCAGAAGGAAACUUUGCUAAUUGUUUCCUUGUAUGUUGAUGAUCUGCUAGUCAUUAGCUGUAAAGAUGAACUGGUAGAAGACUUUAAGAAGCAGAUGCAACAUGUCUUUGAGAUGACUGACCUUGGUCUAAUGACCUAUUUUCUUGGUAUGGAAAUCAAACAAGGAAGUGAUGGUAUUUUCAUAAGUCAACAAACAUUUGCUUCCAAGGUGCUUGAAAAAUUUUGCAUGUUGAAAUGCAAAUCAGUCACUACACCAGUUGCAUUGGGGGAAAAAUUAUCAAGUGUCAGUGAGCAUGAUCGAGUAGAUGAGAGAGCAUAUAGAAGCUUAAUUGGUUGUUUGCUUUAUUUAACAGCAACUAGACCAGACAUUGUCUAUACUGUUAGUCUACUUUCAAGGUUUAUGCACUGCAGUAAUGUGGCACAUUUGAAGGCAGCAAAAAGAGUGUUAAGGUAUGUCAAAGGAACCAUCGAUGCUGGUGUAAAGUUUUGGAGGGCAAAUGAGCUGAAACUCUUAGGCUAUUCUGAUAGCGAUUGGGCAGGGUCAGUUGAUGACAUGAGGAGCACUUCAGGUUAUUUUUUCACCUUAGGCUCGAGUGUUUUCAGCUGGAGUUCGAAGAAGCAACAAACUGUUGCACAAUCUACAGCAGAGGCUGAGUAUAUCUCAGCUGCAGCAGCUGUGAACCAAGCCAUUUGGCUUAGGAAGAUUUUGGAUGAUUUGAAUGAAAAUCAAGCUCAGCCUACUGAGAUUAGAGUGGAUAAUCAAUCAGCUGUGGCCAUAGCCAAGAAUCCAGUAUUCCAUGGUAAGACUAAACACUUCAAAAUCAAAUUCCAUUUUGUUAGAGAAGCUGAGCAAUCUAGGGAGGUUAGCUUAGUUCAUUGCAGCUCAGAAAUUCAGCUAGCUGACAUUUUAACUAAACCAUUGGGAGCCAACCGAUUUAAUGCUUUGAAGGAAAGGAUUGGUGUUUGUUGCAUACAGACCAAGGAGGAGUGUUGAAGCCGUGGCCUGCAUUGCAACAAAGAACCAACAGCAACAAAUUGGUCAAAAGACCAGCAGCAGCAAAUUGUACAAUUUUAGCUGCUAUACUGUUUUGUAGCAAAGAAAUGGAGUUGGUUCAGUUAUAAAAUUAUUUUUUGAAUACUUGUUCCUAUGGAACUUAGCCUAAAUCUUUGUAAUGAGUUAGCUAAGUUAGUAGGAAAGAUUGACUGAUGUAAUAGCUGGUAUGCCAGCUUUCUUUUGUAUACAAGUUGCUAUAUUUUUUAGUAAGUAUUAAGUAAGAGCAGUUAAAUUAGUAGGUAACUGUCAAAUACUUUUGUAACCUUCAUAUAUUCAAAAUUUGAAUGAAACUAUGAUGACUUUUCAUUUUACAAAUUUUCUUGCUGAGUUCUUUUCUUUUGUUUUUCUUUCAUUCGUUUUUUUCUUUCUUUGCUACUGCCAUUUAUCCAACACUACUUCUUCGUGUAGUCAAACUAUUCAGUGAAUCAGUGAUGUCUUUCACCUUCGUGAUCAUAGAAUUAUUAAACUGAAAAGAAGUGGGAGGGAAAAUACUACGAAUAAUCCUUUCAGGAAUGAAUUUCCGGAUCUUACUAGGUCUGGCUUGAGCUUGAGUGUCUUGGAGAUUGAGGCGUAACUCUUCAUAAGCAAACUCGUCCAAGAUGUCAUCCACAUCGUAAGCCAAGUCCUGGAGAUCCUCCAACCAUUUCUUCACACCCAUGUUCUUGAUCUGCUUCUCCUCUGCAUCGUCCAACACUGCUUGGAUAUCAGGCAAUAUGGACUGCCACUGCUUGAGCUGCUGGUGGAGUUGGUAGUGAUCAGCAACAAAGUUGAGUGCAGAGUCAAGCGAUUUGCCCACCAACAGGUCCAGGAACCCAGAAAGAGCAGCCUCUCCAAUGACAGACAUGGUGGAAUUGUGAGAAAUAAGGUGACAAGAGAAAUGAGCAAAGCCAAAAUGGAAAGCCAGGGAACAAAAAAGAAGGAAAGGGAAAUGGAAUCUGCAAAAUUAGAGAAAGUUGAAGAAAUUGGCACAAUAUCCUUGAAGCAUGUAAUAUAAUAAUUCAGACUAUGAGCAAUGAGUUGGAAGUCACUGGGUACAGAUAAAGAAGCUGCUUUUCGUGUUAAUGGGAAAGGAAAAAUGGAAAUGAUUUGAAUUUUGAUGCUCUUCUUUUCUCUUACUUUUGGUCAUUAUCCUAAAUUGACCUUCACCGUAUAUGUAAUUUAAUUAAGCAUCAAAGUAUUAUAUUCCUCACAACUUUAUCGCCAAAAUAUCGCCAACACCAAUACUCUAAAUUUUUGAAUCACAAAUAUUUACAUUAUUUAGCAUAUAGAAAAAAAUCCAAAAUUAAAUGAUAAUUUUUACAAUUUUAUAAUUUUAAUAGUCUGUAUCUUUAUAAAAUUUAAAAGAUUAUAUCAUAUUUUUAUCAUAUUUAGGGGAGCAAAGUAUAAUUUUAUAUUUACUAAUUUAAAAUUUUAAAAUAUUUAAAGAGUCUAAAUGAAAAAUUUUUCAUUUUAGAGGACCUUGCCAACCCCCUAGCUACGCCCGAGAUUGGUUGUAGCUAUAUUGUUAAUUAGCUUACUAUUUUACUAUUUAUAGUAUUAUUUAAACUUAUGACUAGUUGAUGUCACGAAUUAAUCGGGUACCAACUUGGUUAAAGAAAAUAUGAAAAUGUCACUCUAGUCUUUUUAUUAUAAAUAAAAAUAAAAAUUUGUGCAUGGGAUUUUGAACCCAUACCAACUAUAUUAAUAAAUUAUUAAUUUACCAUUCAACUAAAACUUUAAUAUUUUUAUACAUUUUAAUUUUAUUGUGCACACUUUAUUGUUAAUUAAUUUCAAACCUUAUGCAUUAAUUAUUUAUUGCAUGUUAUAUUCAAACGCACACUUAUAUUCUAAAUAUAUGAUUCCCGAACAUACAUGUGUGAUAAGUAUACUAAUUGUAACCUGUCUUCCUAAUUGUUGUCCUAAUUUAUGAUUUGCUUUCUUACUAGAUCUGUGAUACGAGCCAAGGAUGUGACACUCAAAGGGUUGUCUUUUCUAGUGGUUCAAUCACUCGAAGCAAGGCACGUCAAUUAAAAUCAAAGAUGAAUGCUUUUGUCCAAGACUUUGUUGCUACAAAUUUAAUUCAUCAUGUUCGUGACAUUGACAAAUACGGGAAUGCAAUUCACUGGACCAAUCUUGGAAUAGUGAAAGCCCAUAAAUUGGUGGAUUAAUCUUUUUUGUAUCUUAUUAUUAUUAUUAUUUACUUAAUUCUCAUUGGUUAGGACAUAUCAUUUAUGAGUUAAGUAAUUUUAUUGGUUAGGUUAUUAUUUAUUUAUUUUCUUAGAUAAUUUUAAAGAGUUUUAUUAGGAUUCAAUUACUUUUUAAAGAGUUUUUAUUAGGAUUCAAUUGCUCUUGAAAGAGUUUUAUUAGGAUUCAAUUACUCUUGUAAUUUGCCUAUAAAUAGGCUUGUUUGUUAUUAUUUAUUUAUUUUCUUAGAUAAUUUUAAAGAGUUUUAUUAGGAUUCAAUUACUCUUUAAAGAGUUUUUAUUAGGAUUCAAUUACUCUUGAAAGAGUUUUAUUAGGAUUCAAUUACUCUUGUAAUUUGCCUAUAAAUAGGCUUGUUUUCUACACAUUGGGGGAGGAAUAAAAGAAGAGCAUUUGUUUUCUUUCAAAUUUGUGUGAGGCAAAUUUUUGGGAGUAGAGUGAUUCUUCUCUUGCUAUUUAGUUUGGAGUUUGUUACUUUCGAGGGUAUUUCGGAGUUGCAAAUAUUCAAAUUUCUUUCCCGUUCAUCGGUGUUUCUAGAGGUUCUUCUUCUAGGGGUUUCGUAGGGAGCCGCUCAAUCAUUGCGUUUUUGGUUACAAGUUAACCAAGGGUUCUAUAGGGCAAAUCUAUCAUUAUUAUUAUUAUUAUUAUUAUUUAACUAAUUUUAUUUAUUCUCGUUUUUUUUAUUUCUAAUUUGUGUUUCUCUUGUGUCUAGAUCCGGGAUUCCGCAUCAAUCUGUUAGCCAAACUCAAAUUAUCUUCCUUUUAGAUCAAUUAAUUGACUUAAACCUAACUCAAUUACAUUUCUUUCUAGAGUGAUUAACUAAAAUAAUCGACCGAGAUUGUUUCUAUUAUUAUAUUUAUGAAAUCAUGAUGGUUUAGUUAUUGGUAUUUUUUGUUGGGGUUAGGUUAAUUUAAUUUUCAAUUUUUCUAAACUAAAAUUUACAUCUAGAUUUGAUGAUGAUUGAAAACAUUUCUGUCUUUUUGGGUUGAAAACAUCACUGGAAAUGCAAAAGGAGAGAAGGUGAAGCCUUUCAAAUUCUCCACAUGGCAAAUGGUGCUGACAUGUCAGAUGGGCCGCUGUGCCAUACUAUGUUAGAAAAAUUAUAAAAACAUUUUAAAAUUAAUAAAACAUAUAUAUACAUCUAGAAUGAAUCUGGACAAAUGGUUAUCCCAAUUCAAAUGAAUUUGGACAAAAGAAUAUAGCCUUUAUACCAAAGCAAUUAGUUUUAUAUUAGAGGUAUUAGAAUUCACGUUCUAUUUUGUUAAUCUACUUAUACAUGUUAUCUAAUAUGUUAAUUUUGUCUCAAAUCCGAAAAUAAUUGGUGCUCAAAAUGAUUCAAACCCAAGAUGACAUAAAUUUGAGAUGACCCUAUUUGAAAAACUUGAAUGGCAAACUCAAAUGGUCGUAACCCAAAAUGGCUCAAACAUGAAACAACUUAAACCCAAAAUUGACCCGAACCAUAAUGACUCUCUAUUUAUAGCAAUAAUAGAAAGACAAAAUAGUAAAUAUGCAAGGGCAAAAGAGUAAAAACCGUAGGGUUACCAUUUCCACGCAACAGUAAAAGAUAUAUUCUGUUGCCAAAUUUUUCGCAACCGUCAAAAAUCAAAAAAUGUUUUAAAGAAAUUAUUUUCUGGAAAAUAAUAUUGAUUAAAAUUAGAGAUAAAUUAUGGAUGAAAAUAUUGAAUUAUUUCAAAUGAUGAAGAGCAACUUUAAUAAUGUAGAGGGACUGGAUCUUGUGUACCUAGGAUGAUACUUCGAAGGCUAUUCUCAGAAGAGUCGAUCUGUAGCUCAAGUGGUACCAUAUAUCUCAACAAUUGACCUAUAUUCAAUAGGUUAAGGGUUCGAAUCUCAUCAAAUGUCGCCUCUUAGUAGUGAUUGUAAGUCCACAUACGGUCAAUGCACCCCUUUUUGUGAGUUGUACAUGGCUCUCCAAUGAUUGGGAAACAAAACCCUUUCACAGGUGACAAUACCUUCUGUUGUUGAGAGACUGGAUCGGCAUCCCCAAAGACGACACUUCAAAGACUUCUCUCGAAUAAGCCGUUCCCAUUAACAAAUAAAUAAUUAUUCUACACAACCCUAUUCUAUCUUUUAAAUUUAUUAUUUUGUCCCUUAAGAUAUCCAUUAAUCUUUUUAUGUAUUUCUAAUAUACAUCCUAUAUAUAUAUAGUAAAAUGAUAUAUAUAUAUAUAAUCUACACUAAAUAUGAGAAGAUUAUAAAUAUAAUAAUCUAUAAUUUUUAUUUAUAUAUGCCUUUUUCCAACUACGGCGUUCUGAUUAUUUUUUUUAAAUUCUUUUUCAUUUUUUGACCAGUCCUAUUUUAUGAAAAUUCAGAUGUGUAUAUGAAAAUAUAAUUUCAUAUAUUAUUUAUCAUUCACAUUCAAAUCCAAUUAACAUAAACUUGAAGAUUCAUUUCUAACUCAUUAGUUAUUAUUUGUAAUUUCCUCUUCAUUUUCUUUCCCAUUUUCGAUUGUGUAACACGCAUGAAUCUGGAUGAAAAAAAUACAAUAGUUUAGUUGAAAUGACAAAGUUAAGACUUUGCAGAUAUGAGUAUCUUAAUAAUUUAUUUUGGAUUUAAACUAUCUUUUUUAUAGAUUUUAUAUAAACACAUAAAUAAAAAGACAAAAAGCAAACUCAUAAUAUUAUUUGUACCUUUUAAAUAGAAACCACUUUUUUUGAAGUUAUUUUUUAACUAAAUUGAUAUUUAGUUAAACUCGUGACUCCAACUCAAUUAGAUAAUUAAAUAUAGUAUAAAUAACAAAAAAUAGAAUUGAAAUUGACAUACACAUAUGUUGUGUGUAGCCUUAAAUACUCCUCUUUCAUGGUGUUCACCUCAAUUCAGGGGCGGAGCUAAAAAUAUUUUUUAGAGGCUGAAAUAAAGUUGUAUAUUUUUAUGAUGCAAAAAUGAAAUUUUCUUAUUUUAAUAACUUAUAUCUUUAUAAUUUUUAAAGAAUCAUAUCAUUUUUUUCUCAUUCUUGAGGGGGUCAAAGUGUAAUUUUACCACAUACUAAUUUUAAAAAAUAAAUUAUAAAAGGACUAAAGGUGAAAAUUUUCAAUUUAGGGGGAUCGAGGCCCCUGCCAACCCCGUUGGCUCCACCCCUGCCUCAAUUCCUUGCAACUUCUGCUUAUUUAACAAAAAAAAUAGAAAUGUAAUUAUUAUUGUCGACUGAGUCUUAACUCAGUUGGCAUCAACAAUUUAAAAAAAAAAAUUUGGAACAUGCUUUUUCAUUUAAAAUAUGAAAAUUAAAAUAUAAGAAAAAAAACUCACUCACCUCAUUAUCAUAGAAAAGUCUUCACUCACCUUUCAGCUUUUUUUUUUUUAUUAAAAAAACCUCUCAUCCUUCGACUUCUUUUUUCUUCUUAAUUUUGAAUUUAUUGAAUGAUAAAUUUUUACUUGUAGAGUUUAUUAAUCAACAUUUUAUAUAAAUGAAUAUUUUUAUAUUUGAAAUUUAUUUAUAUAAAUAUAUUAAAUAUUUUAAAAAAUAUCGAUAAAUUCGAAAUUGUACAUGAAAUAAACUAGUACUAAUAUGUACCGAUUUUCAUAGAAAAGUAGUGCAUCCACCAAUGUGGUAAUGGCUACCUUGAAAGGAACUAUGUGGCAUACUUGUUUGCAAAUAAAUGGGUUAAACCAUGUUGAGUUAGUAUUGUGGGUAGCUAUAAUGUUUGAUGUUUUGUUUUCUAUGAAUAUUUUGUUUUGAUGAUUUUGAUUUGUGCUGAUAUUUGAGUGCAACCAUUGGGAUAUAUAUGGCUACCUGAAUUUUUAUGAGUUGCUAUACAUUAAUUUACUGUGGUUGUUUUAUUAAUAAAUUUAUGUUUUGGAUUAAGAAAAAAAAUUAAGAAAUUCAAACACAAAAAAGAAAGUAGGGAAAGUGAACACAAUGAUAUACGUGGUUCAGGAAUAAUCCCUACAUCCAUGGGCAGAACCAAAAAUGAAAUUCACUAUUAAGAAAUGGAGAUUACAAUGGAAUUACAUCAUAAAAUAAAAUACCUCGCCAAUAAUUAUCCACAAACUUGGAGCAAUUUUCUAAAUGAACAUCAGCUAUACACUUUCCGCGUUUUGAGAAAUACAUGGCAAUAAUAAAUAACAAGUGACCAACAAUCUCAAAAUGUCGAAAACAAUACUUUAUUUAAAGCAUCCUAGUCUCUUAUCAAUCAUCAAUGGAGACCUAAGACAGAUUCAAGAUUUGUGUAGAUAGAAAUAGUUGAUACUAAAAGCAUUAGAAACCAAACUUACAAUGUUGUGCCGUUGUUGUGCCCAUAAGCUGGUAUUGCCCUCUUUGGAUGCCCACCAUUCAAGGGUUUAUCACCCAAAGGUACGUACACCUCCCCAGUGGUACCAUUUGGCCUUUUAUCUGCCACCAAUUUCAUGGUUCCAAAAGCUGAAUGAAAGUACAAGGCUAAAUAAAUAGCAUAUUUGGCUCCACAACUACAACUUUGUACCAUGCACCAAAAUAUGAUCCAACACAAGAAAGGAAUGUCAGAAGAACAAAUUCUCCAUAUAACCUAUACUUACCCUAUCAUAAACAUUGAUAACAUCACAGUUGAAGCCUUUCAAAGCAGGGGAAAUUCAUAUAAAGAUUGGUAGAAAAUAUGCCAAUCUACCGGACCGGAAAGCUGAAAAGCAACAUUAAAAGAGAGCUGCAAUGAAACUAGUUCCAAACUGCUGCAGUAUAUAUAUCAUUUGAUUCAUUUAACUCAUACCUCAAAGUCAAAAGCAAGAGAGUCGAUAUAUAGCGAGUCACUUAGUCGCUGCUAUUUUUGGGAACACUGAGGCUGGAAGUGAAAACCCCAAAUUGCACCUCAGUGAACUCUGUUGUGUUUAUGUUAAAUUGAGCUCUCUAAUGCCAUGUUGUAACGUGUACUGUAUCCCUUCAUUCAUCCUGCAACGAUCAAUACCAUGUUUACAGUGAUGACGAAAUCUGUUGGCACUGAUAUCCUUAUGCAAUAACAGAAAUCUAUCCACAAAGAUCAACAAACUAUCACGCAAAAGACUUGUUCUUCUGAAACACCAUUGGUUAAUAGUACAACGAAAUCUCAGAUACUUUUAACUAAAAUCCCAUUCCCAUAUACCAAUUUCAUAGCAACUGCUUAGAAAUUAGAAGAUGCAGAUGAAAACAGAACAUUCAAUUUGCUGAAUAAAUGUUGCAGAGAAUUGACUAACCGCUUUACUAAACCAAAUAAGCUGAAGCAAACCAGUUGAAGGUCUCCUCUAUUUUUCGCCAGUUUAGCCUUCAAUGCCUGCAAAAAGUAAAUACAAAAUAUAUAACACCAAUUUCUAUUAUCGUGUUGUUCAUGAGGACAAUCAGAUAUAUAUAAAGAAAAGGUAUGAAAUUGAUAAAUGUUUAAAAUGCGUUUCACACCUGUGGUUUGAGUGUGGAGAAAUCGAUGCCAGAUUUUGCUGCUUAAAUUUCAAUUUAAUUCCCUCGGGAUGACUGUUUCCAUAUCAAUUAGAACACAAGGUAUGUGGGCAAUCUUGGACCACUCUCGUCCUUUACCCCUACUGCACCCUUCUUCUAGCAACGGGCAACGCUGAAUACAUAGAUGCUCAAGCGAGAGAAGCAUAUCUUUUUCCGGAAGAGAUGUGAGCUUAGGACAAUCAUAGAUUCGCAAUUUUUGAAGAGAGGUCAGGUAUUGAAAGCCCUUGGAGCACAUGAAUUCCAAAUUCUCUGUAUUUAUAUUCAGAUAUAUAUAGUGGGUAAUUAAGCAUUUUAUUGACAUACAAUAACCUUUUAUGUUAAAUGUUCGAAUCUGGACUUGAGCUAAGAAUAAGUGUCGAAUAUCGAUAUAUAUUAAUAUAGAUGUGAUGAAUUUUUUAAAAUCGAGAAACAUUCCUCUUAUAUAAAUAUUCAAAUUUGUGUCAAACACGCAUAUAAAACAUAAUUACUUUAGAAAAAAAUGGAUUAAUAUAGGGAUAUAAAAUGUACCUGUAAUCGAGAUCUUUUAAGCUGCUCCAUUAGAAUUUGCUCCUACAACAAUAAAACUUCAGUUUCUAGUGCUCACAAUUAGGCUCCUAAUGAGAUUAUUUUAAGUUUGUGUUUGUAGGAGAGUUACUAAACAUACUAAAUUUAUGUUUGUUUGGAGUUAAUAUUGAUUAAAAUUAGAGAUAAUUUAUGGAUGAAAAUAUUAAUUUAUUUCAAAUGAUGAAGCAUAGCAACUUUAAUAAUGUUGAGGGAUUCGACCGGCGCAUUCAAGGAUGAUACUUCGAAGAUUUCCCUCAAAGGAACUGAUCUGUAGCCAAGUGGUACCAUAUACCCCAAUAAUUGACCUAUAUUCAAUAAGUUAGGGGUUCGAAUCUCACCAAGGGCGAGACGCUCAAGUCGCCUAUUGGUGGGUGGUUGUACGUUCAUAUACGGUCAAGGCGUCCCUCUUUGUGAACCGUACAUGGCUCUCCGUAAAGUGGGGGACAAAACCCUCUCCUAAGGGACAAUACUUUUCAUUGUUGAGAGACUGGAUCGAUAUCCCCAAAACCGAUUUUUUGAAAACUUCUCUUGGAGAAGCCAAUCCCCCUCAACAAAUAAAUUACACUACACAACCCUAUUUCGUCUUUUAAAAUUAUUAUUUUGUCCCUUGGGAUAUAUCCAUUAAUAUUUUCUGUAUUUCUAAUAUACAUGCUAGAUAUAUAUACUAAAAUGAUAUAUUUAUAUAAUAUGAGAAGCUUAUAUAUAUAAAUAUAAUUUGUAGUAAUAUUAAUGCCAGUACCUUUUGUUGCUCAACUGAUGCCAUCCCUUCGUUUAAUUGAUUCUCCAGCUGUUUUAAUUCUUUGAAACUCAAAUCAUCUAGUUCCUUUCCAAUUAAGCCUCCUGCAAAUCACACCUCAAAUUUUACCUAAUCAAAUACUUAUUUAUUUAUUUAUUUUUUUACGUAUUAACAACUAUCACUCGUAUUUAUACAUAUUCAGAUAUAUGUAUGAAGAUGUAAUUUCACAUUUUAUUUACCAUUCACAUUCAAAUCCAAAUAACAUAGACUUGAAGAUUUAUUUCUCACUCAUUAGUUAUUAUUUGUAAUUUCUUUUAUUUUCCUUACCAUUUUUUUUAAUUGUGAACGCUUAGUUGAAAUGACAAAAUUAAGGUUUUGAAGAUACGGGUAUCCUAAUGAUUUAUUUUGAAUUUAAACUAUUUUUUUUAUAGAUUUUAUAUAAAUACAUAAAUGAAAAACAAAAAGCAAACUCAUAAUAUUAUUUGUUAUCUUUUAAAUAAAAACCCUUUUUUAAAGUUAUUUUUCAACUAAAUUGAUCUUUAGUUAAACUCGUGGCUUCAACUUAGUUAGAUAACUAUAUAUAGUAUAAUUAACAAACAAUAAAAUUGAAAUUCACAUACAUGUAUGCUGUGUGUAGCCUUAAAUACUCAUGUUUCAUGGUGUUCACUUCAAUUCCUUGCAACUUCUGUUUUUUUAACAAAAAAAAACGCACACACAAUAUUAGAAAUAUAAUUAUUAUUUUCGAUCGAGUCUUAAUUCAAUUGGCAUUGAUAUUACUAUCUAUGCAAAGAGGACACUAAUUAAUAUAUAUACACACCUCAACUUGUUGCACAUCAAAAGGGUGUUCUUGAGAAUGAUCUUCUUCCAUUUCUUUGUUGUAUCUCGAAAGAGUAUGUUCCAUGCUACAUUCAUAAAAUGUCAUGUUUAAAAAAAUAACAAUAAAUUAAAAAUAAAAUUCUAACUCAUUAUUAGGGUUUAGGUUUUGGGCUUGAGUCGAUCAAAUUUAUGACAAGUUAUUCUUAGCUUAUCGUAACUAUUUAUGUAUCAAUUUUUGUUUUAAUACGAGUAUGUGUUGUUCUGUUUUAGUAUAUAGUUUCGUAAGUAUCAUUUUUAAAUAUUUCUUAAUUAUAAUAUGUAAAUAUAAAUUUUAAAAUUAUUAAUUAAGUUCAAUAAUUUAAUAAAUGGUUAUAUAUUAUUUUUUAAAGCAAUUAUAUAAAAAAGUAGUUAAGAAAGAAAAGGGAAAUAUUAAAAACUCCUUUAUAGGAAUUAAUACUCACCGAUACAAGCAUAUAUUAAUUGAAAUGAAUCAAAACUCAAUGAAAUUUUAAUUGAAGUGAAACUUAAAUCAUUUUAUUCUAGUUUAAUAUCGAGAUGAUUCGUAACGAUUGAUACAACCAGUAUCGAAACUACUGACUACCAUGCUACAAAGCGAAAAGAAAAAUAAUGAAAACCAAUCAAAUUACAACUCAACUUACUUUCAUGCUUUAAAAAAAACAGUUCUAAAAAUAAUCAUCCAAGAAAAUAAAUAUAUAUAAGUUUUAUAGACCGUUACAAACUAAUAUACACUCAUAUAAGUCGAUAUUAACUGAAACAAAUCAAAACACAAUAAAAUUUUAACUGAAACGAAACUUAAACUACUUUAUAUUAAUUCAAUAUUGAGACGAUAGCCAAUUAUUAAGAAAAGAAAAAUAAUGGAAAUCAAUCAAAUUAUAGGUCAACUUACUUUCAUGCUUAAAAAAAAAUGCUAAAAUUAAAAAUUGAAAAAAACCCAGAUUUCGAUUAUUAAAAAUAAUCUAUAAUAUAUAUAUAUAUAAGUAUUAUACUAUAUGAUAUACCUAGUGCUGGACCAUUGAUAGACCUUGCCGGUGCUUGAAAAAAUAAUAACCCCAACCUCUGCGUCACAUAAAAUGGACAAUUCUUUAGCUUUCUUCAACAACCCAUUUCGCCUCUUUGAAAACGUUACUUGCCUGCUAUUCAAAUUUUCAAUCUUUUUUAUUUCAAUUUUCCCUCUACCCAUCUCAAAAUUUUCUUCUUUCCUUUACUUUUUCCCGGAAAAUUUUUAAAAGAAAAGUUAAACCCCAGAUUUUUUUUCCUUAAAUUUUGAAAAAAAACCAAAGGUUUUUAUAACAACAAACAGAUCAAAGAAAAGAAGGCAAAAAAUUUAGGGGAUUGUAAAAGGAUUCUUUUUUUAAGAGAAAAGAAAAUAAGUAAGUAAUGUUUAUAUAUAACAGUUGUUUUCUUAAAUGGAAAUGGAAAAUGAUAUGGAAAAAGAAAAUAUGUGACCAAAAUUAGGGUGAAAUCUUGAAAGGUGACAGAUUUGAUACUAUAUCUACCAAUUAUCCAACUAUGGAAACUCUAUUUAUUAUACCUUUAGUUUUUUUUUUCUAUUUUUCUUAAUUUCUCUACCUUUUUACUCUCCUGUUUUUGGUAUUUCAACUCAAAAUGGAUUUUAUUUUUGCUUUGGGUUUCUUUUUUCAAAUAUAAAAAGUGGUUUUUAAUUAUUUAUAUAUUAUUAAUGUGUUUUAACAAUUUUUGUUAGUGAAUAUUGAUUUUUUUUUUGUGAAUUACAAUAGGAGGGCAAAGCCCUAAUAACAACACGACUAGAGCGAUUCGAAUUUAGGCCACACCUGAGACGUUGAACACAAGUAUUUCACGAGGACAUAUAACACAUGUUUUUUUUUUUAAAUUCAUGGCUAAAAUAAUAAAAAAAACCUCUUUAUUUUAUUGUAUUCAAAUAAUAAUAAAAAACCACAGUUUUAGUCGUACCGGCCGGUGCCGCCGUUCUACUGUUAUAGUGCAACAAGCAACACCCUUUUCCAUACUAAUGAAAAUUUUGGUUUGUACCGUUCGCAUUGGCCGGAACAUGGUACACCUGCUGCUGCAUAAAUAAUGUUAAAAAAUAUAAAACUUUUAACUAUUUUCUAUUAGACUAAAUAUUUAAUUGAAAUUGACCAAUAAAAAAAUUAUUGCACUAGAAAGUGAAGUUUAACAUUUAAAAUUUUUUUUGGAGCAUACUUUUUCAUUUAAGAUAUAAAAAUUAAAAUAUAAUAAAAAAACCCACUCACCUCGUUAUCAUAGAAAAAUCUUCACUCGCCCUUCAGUUUUUUUAUUGAAAAAACCCCCUCAUCCUUUGAUUUCUUUUUUUCUACUUAAUUUUAAAUUUAUUGAAUAAUGAGUUUUUACUUGUGGAGUUUAUUAAUCAAUAUUUUAUAUAAUUGAUGAAUAGUUUUAUAUUAAAAAUUCAUUUAUAAUAAUUUAUUUGAUAUUUGUAUAUUUAUUUAUAUAAAUAUAUUAAAUAUUUUUAAAAAAUAUCGAUAAAUUCAAACUGAUACAUAAAAUAGACUAAUACCAAUACAUACCGGUUCUCAUAGAAAAGUGGUACUUAUACCAAUGUGGUAAUGACUACCUUGAAAGCAAGUAUGUGGGUGGCUAUAAUGUUUGAUGCUUUGUUUUCUUUGAAUAUUUUGCUUUGAUGCUUUUGAUCUGUGCUGAUCUUUGAGUGUUACCAUUGGGAUAUAUAUGGCUAUCUAAAUUUUUAUGAUUUGCUAUGCAUUGAUUGUGGUUGUUUUAUUAAUAAAUUUAUAUUUUGGAUUGAGAAAAAAAAGAAAAAGGGAUUCGAAACACAAAAAAAAAAGUAGAGAAAGUGAACACAAUAAUAUACGUGGUUAGGGAAUAUUCCCUACAUCCACGGGCAGAACUGAAAAUGAAAUUCACUACUAAAAAUUGGAGAUUACAAUGGAAUUACAUCAUAAAAAUAAAAUACCUUGCCACUAACUAUCUACAAACUUUGAAUGGAUUCAUGGUCUGAGAAAUUCUGAAAACUAAGAAGGACAUCUUUGAGAUUCGACAGAACAAUAUUUUGGGAACUUUGUUGUCUUACAUGUGUUAAAUUGAGCUCUCUAAUGCCAUGUUGUAACGUGUACUGUAUCCCUCCAUUCAUCCUGCAAGGAUCAAUAUCAUGUCUUCAGUGAUGACAAAAUCUGUUGGCACUGAUAUCCUUAUGCAAUAACAGAAAUCUAUCCACAAAGAUCAACAAACUAUCACGUAAAAGACUUUUUCUUCUGAAACACCAUUGGUUAAUAGUAUAAUGAAAUCUCAAAUACUUUUAACUAAAAUCCCAUUCCCAUAUACCAGUUUCAUAGCAGCUGCUUAGAAACUAGAAGAUGCAGAUGAAAACAGAACAUUCAAUUUGCUGAAUAAAUGUUGCAGAGAAUUGACUAACCGACUUUACUAAAUCAAAUAAGCUGAAGCAAACCAGUUGAAGGUCUCCUCUAUUUUUCGCCAGUUUAGCCUUCAAUGCCUGCAAAAAGUAAAUACAAAAUAUAUAACACUGAUUUCUAUUAUCAUGUUGUUCAUGAGGACAGUCAGAUAUAUAUAAAGUCAUGAGGACAAUCAGAUAUAUAUAAAGAAAAGGUAUGAAAUUGAUAAAUGUUUAAAAUGCGCUUCACACCUGUGGUUUGAGUGUGGAGAAAUCGAUGCCAGAUUUUGCUACUUCAAUUAAAUUUAAUGCCCUCGGAGAGAUGACUUUGCAUAUCAAUUCGAACAUAAGGUAUGUGGGCAAUCUUAAACCACUCUCGUCCUUUACCCCUACUGCACCCUUCUUGUACCAACGGGCAACGCUGUAUACAUAAAUACUCAAGCGAGAGAAGCAUAUCUUUUUCCGGAAGAGAUGUGAGCUUAGGACAUUGAUAGAUUCGCAAUUUUUGAAGAGAGGUCAGGUAUUGAAAGCCCUUGGAGCACAUGAAUUCCAAAUUCUCAAAAUUUUCAAUGGAAAUAAAUGUGAGAGAAGGAGGCAGCGUCAUUCCUAUCCCUUCUUCUGGAAACGACACCACAUUUGAGCAUCCUUCACCGCUGAUGUUGAGUCGCUGAAGAGAGGUAAGUCUGUUAAAUCCCCAUUGAACAAGUGAUGUAUAAAUUUUGGGUGCGUUUGAGAUUGCAAGUGAUGUGAGGUUGGCAGGGAAACCCUCUUCUGGAAAGGAUAUGUCAGCCGAACAAUAAGACACCUUCAAUUCUCGAAGGGAGGUGAAGUUGUUGAUGCACUUGGGAAGGACUCCAAAAUUUUCACAAUUCUCAAUUGCGAAAACUCUGAGAUUUGUGGUGGGCAACCCACUUUCUUCAAAUGAAACCAGAUUUGGACACCUAGAUAAUUUAAUCUCCUGAAGAUGGCUGAGCUUGUCUAAUCCCCGCGGUAAUGAUUUAAUUUUUUCAGCACCACGAAUGCCAAUGCUUUCGAGAUCAAUGGUUUCAAAGAAGUCUUGGGCUAUGCAUUCCAACACUGGACAAUCCCAAAUAAAUAGCUGUUUAAGCAUUACGGGUAACUUGGCGUUUAAAAAUAACCUAGUUAGCUUUUAACAACUUUCAAUUUCGAGAUGUUGAAGUCGAUUGCAUAUAUCGCCCCUUGAUAAUAACCAUAUUAGAGAUGGACAGCUUCUUAUUACUAAGUGCUCAAGAAGACAAGUGUUGCUACUCAUACUCUUAUUAUUAUUUUCUUUUUCAUCAACCAAAUAUUGCAAAUUCACGCAAUUCCCAAUCCUCAGCUCUUUUAAUGCAGGAGGAAAGUUACUCUCUGCAAAACAAACCAAGCCGGGACACGCUGCAAGUGUUAUUCUUGUAAUGAAUGGGAAAGCAUGUAAGGCUUCUGGUAGUCUAUUGAGCCUUCCACAAUUAUCUAUUGCCAGAGAUUCAACACCUGGAAUCUUGUCAAGUUGCAAUCUCUCCUCCUCUGUUUCCAAAGAGACCAAUUGGGGACAAUCCGCAAUACUAAUAAAACGAUGCCCGACUAAUCUUAACCCAAUUUGCGAUAAAGAUCCCAACUCCUUCCAACCAGAGACGUUGAAUCUUUCGGAGUUUGCAAACCUCAACAUUAUCCUCUCUGCUGAAAUGUUAAAAUUUGAAAUAUUUGAAACACACAAACUUUUAAAGGAGGUAACCUUCUGUACGGACAAAGAACCUUCAUCCACCAAUUCUUCACACCCUUCAACCCAUAUUUUACGCAGCAAGGGAAAACAAGAAAUUGAAACUACCAGUCUCUUACAGUUGUAGAUUUCAAGCGUCUGCAAGGAUUGAAGGAUGGUUGGCAACCUUCCCAGCAAUAGAGGACAUUUUCUGAUUGAAAGAAAACGAAGGCUGGGGAAUUUCGAUACUUGCUCAUCAUCUUCACAUAGGUCCCACUCCUCCCAAUUCAGCAUAUUGCCAAAACGCAGAGACUCUAAUGAUGCAAAAGUAUUUGAUUGAUUUUCUCCAAACAUCUCAGCACCAAUCUUGUGUACUUGAUCCAAACCACUAAUUGAAAGAUCUUUUAACAACAACAACCUUCCAAUCGAUGGUAGAGAUUUGCAAUUUUUACAGUCGUGAAGCUCCAAUGACAACAUAUUUUUGAAGGAAGGAUCUGCAAUCCAAGUAGAGAAUUUUGCACCACCAUAAUUCUCAAUGACGAGUUGCUCAAGCUUUUUUGGAGGACAAAGAGAGUCCAACACCCAUUCUUCAACUUCUUUAUUCCUUGAAGCAUUUUCAAACUUUUUCCUCCAAUGCAAUACCAGUCGAUCAAUCCCCUGCUUCUCAUAUAACUUGCUUUCCCCUGCAUCUUCACCAUUAACAUUCUCCAACCCAGAAAGACGGAAAUCACCUUCGAGGUUUGACAAAUAUUUCAAACCUCUAAUAUAACUACCAUCACCUUCCCCUAUUAUAAAAUCAGUUAAACUUUGAAGAUUCGUUAGCUUAUCAAUUCUAAAAGGAAUCCUUUCUAUUGAGUUCGCACCUCUGAUAUCAAGAUAAUGCAAGUUGACAAGAUUUCCCAUCUUUGAAGGUAACAUUUGAAGCUUGUAACACCACCUUAAUAAUAAGGUUUCUAAAUGGUAAAGAGUGCACAAAGAAUCUGGUAGGCAUUUGAUUUUUGUGCUCGAAAAAUUUAAGUAGCGAAGAUGUUUUAAAUUUUCAAAAACAUCAGGCAACUCAGUGAUUAUAUACCCACUCAAAGAAAGCAUCCUUAGGUAGCCAAGUCUUGGUAACAAAUCAUCCAAAACAACAUUAGUUAAAAAAGGGGCCCGAUAAUCACACAUUAAGGGUAAAAAAGUACGUAGAGAAUUCACUUGAUCAAAUGCUUCAAACUUCUUCACUGUGUCAUAUGUUCCAACAAUAUAAGAAGAAUGUCGAGUGCGAUUUGAGAACUUCCAUUUCUUAUCACCCUCUAAUUUUGAGCAUAUUUCCCCUGCAACUACUUGAGCUAAAUCAUUGAUAAGGUCAUGCAUUACGAAUCGGGACUUAUCUUUACUGGAUGUUUGAAAGAAUCGGGACUUAUAUUUACUGGAUGUCUGAAAAAAUGACCUGGACACUAGAUCUUGAAAAUAUUGAUUUCCGAGAUCUUUAAUUUGAGGCAUAGCUUUUUGUUGCAAGAGACCUUCUGCUCUCCAUAACAAGAUAAUUUCUUCUUCCCCAAAUUCAUAGUCUUUAGGAAGUAUGGAGCAAUAUGCAAAACAUCGUUUCAAGUAUGACGGAAGAUGAUGGUAGCUUAACCGCAAAGCUGGAAUUAUGCCACACUGCUCUUCUGGUAAGUUCCAUAUCUCACUCUCAUAUAGUCUUUCCCAUUUUCCAUGAUAUUUAACCGUGCGAAGCAAGCUUCCAAUGACUUUUGCAGCCAAAGGUAAGCCAUUGCACCUUCUAACAAUUUUCUUUCCAAUUUCUUUAAACUGGAGAUGUCCAUCGAAAUUUCUUGCUUUUAAUGCAUGCUGUGUAAAUAUGGAUAAACAAUCAUCAUCCGAUAGUUUAUCCAAAUGAAAAGCUUUGAGCGGAUCCACAAUAGAUGAAACAAUUUGAAGACGAGUGGUUACAAUGAUAUGGGUCCCUGCUCCAAACGGAGACCGUAAGAUGGUCCAAUCAUUAUAAUUUUCGUUCCAAAUGUCAUCUAAAACAAGCAAGAAUCUUUUCCCAGACAACUUCUCCUUCAACUUAACUUGAAGUAAAUUCAAGUCAUUCUCGUCAUGAGAGUCAGGAUCGAUAGAUUUUAAAAUUGUCCUGGUUAUAUUAACUGCGUCAAAAUUAUCAGAAACGCAUACCCAGGCCUUGUGGUGAAAAGACUGGUUGAAGGUGGCAUCAUUGUAAACAAGCUGAGCAAGAGUUGUUUUACCCAUCCCUCCCAUGCCGACGAUGGAAAGGACUGAAACUCCGUUGGAGUUAUCACCUUUGAGAAACUCAAUCAUUUCUGUCUUCUCCUUGUAUCUGCCAACAUACUCCACAACUCCAUCCAGUACGGAAGUUGGUUGCAGCCUAGGUUGCUUUCCCUUGGAGGUUGGAGCUUGAGACAAGAUCUCACUCAACCCCAAACUACUUCUUCGAGUAGUCAAACUAUUCAGUCUAGCAGUGAUC